This 473-nucleotide ribosomal RNA is filed under the name Atergatis floridus. RNAcentral's name for it is "partial large subunit ribosomal RNA". It matches the Rfam family "Archaeal large subunit ribosomal RNA", at positions 1946 to 2643 of the family's 2987-position model. The record is from RNAcentral. Lineage: Eukaryota; Metazoa; Arthropoda; Malacostraca; Decapoda; Xanthidae.
GACCUGCUCACUGAUAAUAUUAUUAAAGAGCCGCGGUAUAUUGACCGUGCAAAGGUAGCAUAAUCAUUAGGGGUUUAAUUGGAACCUGGUAUGAAGGGUUGGACAAAGGAAAAACUGUCUUUCUGAUAUAAGUUGAAAUUUACUUUUAAGUGAAAAGGCUUAAAUUAAUCAAAGGGACGAUAAGACCCUAUAAAGCUUUAUAAAUAAUUUAAAUUUAAUUGAUUUAUUAAUUAAAGGUUGAAUUUAACUAUUUUAUUUUGUUGGGGUGAUGUGAGUAUAAGUUAUAUUAACUGCUUAAAAGAAAUUCUAUCAUAAAAGAGUCUAUAGUGUAGAUGAUCCUUUAUAAAGAUUAAAAGACUAAGUUACUUUAGGGGUAACAGCGUUAUUUCUUUUGAGAGUUCAUAUCGAAAAAGAAGAUUGCGACCUCGAUGUUGAAUUAAAAUGUCUAUAUAAUGCAGUCGUUAUAAGAGAGG